RNAcentral lists this ribosomal RNA (497 nucleotides) under uncultured bacterium. RNAcentral's name for it is "partial 16S ribosomal RNA". It matches the Rfam family "Bacterial small subunit ribosomal RNA", at positions 28 to 507 of the family's 1533-position model. The record is from RNAcentral.
GAUGAACGCUGGCGGCGUGCCUAAUACAUGCAAGUCGAGCGAACAGAUAAGGAGCUUGCUCCUUUGACGUUAGCGGCGGACGGGUGAGUAACACGUGGAUAACCUACCUAUAGGACUGGGAUAACUUCGGGAAACCGGAGCUAAUACCGGAUAACAUAUUGAACCGCAUGGUUCAAUAGUGAAAGGCGGCUUUGCUGUCACUUAUAGAUGGAUCCGCGCCGUAUUAGCUAGUUGGUAAGGUAACGGCUUACCAAGGCAACGAUACGUAGCCGACCUGAGAGGGUGAUCGGCCACACUGGAACUGAGACACGGUCCAGACUCCUACGGGAGGCAGCAGUAGGGAAUCUUCCGCAAUGGGCGAAAGCCUGACGGAGCAACGCCGCGUGAGUGAUGAAGGUCUUCGGAUCGUAAAACUCUGUUAUCAGGGAAGAACAAAUGUGUAAGUAACUGUGCACAUCUUGACGGUACCUGAUCAGAAAGCCACGGCUAACUACGUG